GCUGGUGUAGUUUAGUGGUAAAGUCCUCGUUUCACACGUGAGAGGCCGGUGGUUCGAUCCCACCCAUCAGUA
RNAcentral lists this transfer RNA (72 nucleotides) under Globisporangium ultimum DAOM BR144. RNAcentral's name for it is "Pythium ultimum DAOM BR144 tRNA". It matches the Rfam family "tRNA". From Rfam's summary of the family: Transfer RNA (tRNA) molecules are approximately 80 nucleotides in length. Their secondary structure includes four short double-helical elements and three loops (D, anti-codon, and T loops). The record is from Rfam by way of RNAcentral. Lineage: Eukaryota; Oomycota; Peronosporomycetes; Pythiales; Pythiaceae.